Molecule: small RNA, 90 nt
Filed under: Klebsiella pneumoniae
Lineage: Bacteria; Pseudomonadati; Pseudomonadota; Gammaproteobacteria; Enterobacterales; Enterobacteriaceae
Description: partial RtT sRNA
Rfam family: RtT RNA
About the family: This family represents a bacterial cis-regulatory element known as RtT RNA. The exact function of RtT is unknown although it is thought that it may be involved in changing the cellular response in relation to amino acid starvation.
Source: RNAcentral
UAUUCUGCCCCAUGGGGAAGGAUGAGAAGCUUCGACUAAGGUUCGACUCGAGCGAAGCGAGAGAACGUUGCCGCAGGCAAAGGCCCGAAG